This 74-nucleotide transfer RNA is filed under the name Canis lupus familiaris (dog). It matches the Rfam family "tRNA". Rfam says of the family: Transfer RNA (tRNA) molecules are approximately 80 nucleotides in length. Their secondary structure includes four short double-helical elements and three loops (D, anti-codon, and T loops). Further hydrogen bonds mediate the characteristic L-shaped molecular structure. tRNAs have two regions of fundamental functional importance: the anti-codon, which is responsible for specific mRNA codon recognition, and the 3' end, to which the tRNAs corresponding amino acid is attached (by aminoacyl-tRNA synthetases). tRNAs cope with the degeneracy of the genetic code in two manners: having more than one tRNA (with a specific anti-codon) for a particular amino acid; and 'wobble' base-pairing, i.e. permitting non-standard base-pairing at the 3rd anti-codon position. The record is from Rfam by way of RNAcentral. RNAcentral also lists the same sequence under 1 other name. Lineage: Eukaryota; Metazoa; Chordata; Mammalia; Carnivora; Canidae.
ACCUGGCUGGCUCAGUCAGGAAGAGCAUGUGACUCUUGAUCUUGGGGUUGUGAGUUCAAGUCCCACUUUGGGUG